UUUUUCUUCCCUGCCUAGUCAAAUGUUGACUUUAUGUGAUACAUGUUGCCAAAUCCUUUGGGAAAUUCUCAUACCAUAUUGUAUGACCAUGAAAUUUCAUAUGUGAUAACUAGACAUCUUGAGCUUUGCAUUGGUGUUAAUCUCAUUCAUUUCUCACCUGUUUUCAAUUUGAUAUGAUUUUUUAAAGUUGACUCAUGUUUG
RNAcentral lists this long non-coding RNA (201 nucleotides) under Lathyrus oleraceus (garden pea). Its description in RNAcentral is "Pisum sativum (pea) long non-coding RNA (PSAT_LNC040239)". The record is from RNAcentral. Lineage: Eukaryota; Viridiplantae; Streptophyta; Magnoliopsida; Fabales; Fabaceae.